RNAcentral lists this ribosomal RNA (253 nucleotides) under uncultured Armatimonadales bacterium. RNAcentral describes it as "partial 16S ribosomal RNA". It matches the Rfam family "Bacterial small subunit ribosomal RNA", at positions 524 to 776 of the family's 1533-position model. The record is from RNAcentral. Lineage: Bacteria; Bacillati; Armatimonadota; Armatimonadia; Armatimonadales.
UACGUAGGGGGCGAGCGUUGUCCGAAGUUACUGGGCGUAAAGAGCGCGUAGGCGGGUCCUUAAGUGAGGGGUGAAAGUCCGAGGCUCAACCUCGGAACUGCCUUUCAUACUGGGGAUCUUGAGUGCGGGAGGGGCGAGUGGAAUGGUCGGUGUAGCGGUGAAAUGCGUAGAUAUCGAUCGGAACACCCAUGGCGAAGGCAGCUCGCUGGCCUGUAACUGACGCUGAGGCGCGAAAGCGUGGGGAGCAAACAGG